CCGCCCCCGGGGCGCGUUGGCGGGAGAAGGCGGCGCGGUUUUGGCGCGGCGAACCCGGAGCGCGUGGAGGGAGCUGGCGGUGGCUGAUAGCAGAAAGCCAGCAAACGCUCCACAUCGUGCCCUCUGGUUACUUGGCGGAAAUGCAGUUACACGUUCAUACGUGUUGUAGAUCGUGGCAGGUCAGUGCAGGAGAAGCAGUAUUGUUACCCGGGAGCAGAGCGGGCACAAGACGUGGCAGCGGGUGGCAGCACACAUCUUAAUGCCCUAGGAAGAACGAAUUGUGCAAGCAGCAUAAUUGCAGCAGAAACAAAUAUAUUGCUUUGGAUCCAUAUUAUUAAAGGUGAUUAAGACAGUUGUCUGAGGAGCAGCACCUGCUGUAUGUUGUUUCAGUCUUUCUGCCUUUCUUCAGCGUACACAGAUAUUCACGCAAAGCCAGGAAAACGGACAGCCUCAGAAAUGGAAAAAAGACUGCUCUUUGCCAGCCUGCCUUAGGAGCUGCUCUAAGCCAGAUCAGGAGUGUUCAGCCAAUAAUUUGCAAAGGUUUUUAAAUAGUUUGAAAUAUAUACCUCAAAGACUCCU
Dromaius novaehollandiae (emu) is the source of this 579-nucleotide long non-coding RNA. RefSeq lists it as uncharacterized. The transcript is spliced from 3 exons. Lineage: Eukaryota; Metazoa; Chordata; Aves; Casuariiformes; Dromaiidae. The record is from RefSeq and is a predicted model, not a curated record.